Molecule: ribosomal RNA, 253 nt
Filed under: uncultured bacterium
Lineage: Bacteria
Description: partial 16S ribosomal RNA
Rfam family: Bacterial small subunit ribosomal RNA
Source: RNAcentral
UACGGAGGGAGCUAGCGUUGUUCGGAAUUACUGGGCGUAAAGCGCGCGUAGGCGGCUUUGUAAGUUAGAGGUGAAAGCCCGGAGCUCAACUCCGGAACUGCCUUUAAGACUGCAUCGCUUGAAUCCAGGAGAGGUGAGUGGAAUUCCGAGUGUAGAGGUGAAAUUCGUAGAUAUUCGCAAGAACACCAGUGGCGAAGGCGGCUCACUGGCCCGAUACUGACGCUGAGGCACGAAAGCGUGGGGAGCAAACAGG